ACCAGCGGUGAUAGCACGUUGAAUGCACCAGUUCCCCACGGAUCACUGCAGUUAAGCAACGUUGGGAGUGGUUAGUAAAUGGAUGGGUGACUAUCAUCUGGGGAAACCGCGUGCUGCUGGGU
This 122-nucleotide ribosomal RNA is filed under the name Diaphorina citri (Asian citrus psyllid). The record is from RNAcentral. Lineage: Eukaryota; Metazoa; Arthropoda; Insecta; Hemiptera; Psyllidae.